Molecule: small nuclear RNA, 108 nt
Organism: Molossus molossus (Pallas's mastiff bat)
Lineage: Eukaryota; Metazoa; Chordata; Mammalia; Chiroptera; Molossidae
Source: RefSeq, a predicted model, not a curated record
GUUAUUUUCACUUCAGAGGCACAUAUACUAAAACCGGAAUGAUACAGAGAAGAUUAGCAAGGAUUCUGUGCAAGGAUGACAAAAAAAUAAAAAAAUAAAAAUAUAAAU